UACGGAGGGUGCGAGCGUUAUCCGGAAUCACUGGGUUUAAAGGGUGCGUAGGCGGCUCGAUAAGUCAGUUGUGAAAGCCCCAUGCUUAACGAGGGAGGUGCGAUUGACACUGUCGAGCUUGAAUCGGGAUGAGGCAGGCGGAAUGUGGCAUGUAGCGGUGAAAUGCAUAGAUAUGCCAUAGAACACCGAUUGCGAAGGCAGCCUGCUGGGCCUGUAUUGACGCUGAGGCACGAAAGCGUGGGGAGCAAACAGG
Molecule: ribosomal RNA, 253 nt
Filed under: uncultured bacterium
Lineage: Bacteria
Description: partial 16S ribosomal RNA
Rfam family: Bacterial small subunit ribosomal RNA
Source: RNAcentral